AGACUUAGGGUGCUUGGUUUUUAAAGUGGACUUUUCCACAGAUGAAACUGAUCUGACGAGUGCAACAAGCAAAUUAAUAAACAAGGUAGAACAGAUUCUACAAUCAAAACUUGCUGCGGGGUCCUUUAAACUCACCUUGAUUAGCAAUGCAACCCGCAUUUAGUCAUCUCUAUUACAUCUUCAUAACCCGCAUUUAGUAAUCUCUAUUACAUCUUCAUAACCCGCACUUAAUAAUCUCUAUUACAUCUUUAUAACCUGCAUUUAGUAAUCUCUAUUACAUCUUCAUAGUCCGCACUUAGGGGCCAAAUUAUCAAACUCCGAGCAAUUUGAUUUGUUAGUGAUAGUUUUUAAUGUGUAUUUUAAUCAGAUUGGCUGAUGUCAUAAAUCAUGUGGUGGAAAAAUUCACUAGUGUGUGGUUUAUUUAGGAGUUUGCAUCAUAAUUGGUGCGAAAAGUGUUGCGUCAAAUAUGGCGCAAAGUGAAAAGUGGGACUUAUAUUACAUGGCUUAAACAUGGUGCACAUAGAUUUUUUAAAAACUAAAAAGGUUAGCUAUAUUAUGUUGUGUAUUUAUUUCAUUCUUAUCUCUAUAUCUAUUAGUGCGACAAGUUUGGGGCAAAACUUUCCACCAAAUAUGUAGAAAUUAUAUUGUCCCCUUGAUUUGUAAUGAGAGACAAAGUUGUAGCAUAAUCCAUCAGUAGUAAUGUAUUUUUAAUUUUUAUCCCUAUAUCUACUAGUGCACCAAAUGUGGAGCUAUAAUAUUGUUUGAUUUAGAAAGGGUAUACAAUUUUAAUAAAGUUUCUCAUUUACUUUUA
This is a long non-coding RNA of Bombina bombina (fire-bellied toad), 811 nucleotides long. RefSeq lists it as uncharacterized. The record is from RefSeq and is a predicted model, not a curated record. The transcript has 2 exons. Lineage: Eukaryota; Metazoa; Chordata; Amphibia; Anura; Bombinatoridae.